CUGGCGGCGUGCUUAACACAUGCAAGUCGAACGGGGCGAAGUGAUAGCUUGCUAUUAUGGAGCCUAGUGGCAAACGGGUGAGUAACGCGUAGGCAACCUGCCCUUCAGAUGGGGACAACACCUCGAAAGGGGUGCUAAUACCGAAUGACGUUUCCUGGUCGCAUGACCUGGAAACCAAAGGCCGGGCAACCGGUCACUGAAGGAUGGGCCUGCGUCUGAUUAGCUAGUUGGUGGGGUAACGGCCCACCAAGGCGACGAUCAGUAGCCGGUCUGAGAGGAUGAACGGCCACAUUGGGACUGAGACACGGCCCAAACUCCUACGGGAGGCAGCAGUGGGGAAUCUUCCGCAAUGGGCGCAAGCCUGACGGAGCAACGCCGCGUGAGUGAAGAAGGUUUUCGGAUCGUAAAGCUCUGUUGAGAGGGACGAGAGAUAUAAUCAGGAAAUGGGUUAUAGAGGACGGUACCUUUCGAGGAAGCCACGGCUAACUACGUG
This 493-nucleotide ribosomal RNA is filed under the name uncultured bacterium. Its description in RNAcentral is "bacterial SSU rRNA". It matches the Rfam family "Bacterial small subunit ribosomal RNA", at positions 36 to 507 of the family's 1533-position model. The record is from RNAcentral.